AACGGAGGGAGCAAUCGUUAUUCGGAUUUACUGGGCGUAAAGCGCACGUAGGUGGCCAAGCAGGUCACAUGUUAAAGCCCCUUGCUCAACGAGGGAAAAGCAUGUGAAACCGUUUAGCUUGAGUUCAGGGGAAGUAGACGGAAUUCCCGGUGGAGCGGUGAAAUGCGUAGAUAUCGGGAGGAACACCUGCGGCGAAAGCGGUCUACUAAACUGAUACUGACACUGAGGUGCGAAAGCUAGGGGAGCAAACAGG
RNAcentral lists this ribosomal RNA (253 nucleotides) under uncultured bacterium. Its description in RNAcentral is "partial 16S ribosomal RNA". It matches the Rfam family "Bacterial small subunit ribosomal RNA", at positions 524 to 776 of the family's 1533-position model. The record is from RNAcentral.